This is a long non-coding RNA of Cyprinus carpio (common carp), 3234 nucleotides long. NCBI's taxonomy places the organism in Eukaryota, Metazoa, Chordata, Actinopteri, Cypriniformes, Cyprinidae. The record is from Ensembl.
GUUCCAGUCAUAUCAAAGAGGAAGAAGAGUAAAGUUUUUUAUUUUUUUUAGCCUAUCAAGGAACAGGAGAUUUGAAGAUCAUCUGUAAUCUCACUAUCUCUCUGCCUCAUUCAGUACAACGCAGACAGGUAUUAAAAAAUAAAUGACUGAGAGAGUCAUCUGAUCAGCCUACAGAGAAAAAUAUGGAGGAGGAAUUACACUGUGAUCUUGAGGAAAUAAUGGCUGAUUUGGAGGAGAUGCAGAGUGAGGAAGCGGUCAAAACACCACCUAAAAAACAAAAAAGAAAAAAGAUUGAUCUUAAACUUAGGUGGAAAAAAAGAGACCAAGAAGGAUUCUUGGUCUAUGAGAAGCGCAAACCAAAGAAAGACCGAUCUGGAAAACCAGUUGCCUCAACCAUUGUCUCUUCAAGUAACCCUCAAGAAGUUGAGCUCGAAACUGCAAGCACAUCUGAAGCCUCAACUUCCAAACAACAUUUUGGAGAUGUAGAUGCACAACAGAUUAUUGAUUUACAACUACAGCAACUCCAAAAUGCAAUGGAGUGUGAUGAACCCAGAUCAGCAGCAUCUCAUGAUUGGGCAUUGAGGCAAACCUUGUCUGAAGAAUACUGGGAGGAAGCAAGGCCAAAACUCCUUGACAGUUUGCUUGCUUCAGACUGUGUGCAUUAUGGUCCUUGUGAUCACUGCAGCUUGAAACAAGCAGUCAUCAGGUGCAAGGACUGUUUCCCGAAACCCCGUUACUGUGGCCAGUGUGACGUUUCUACACAUCAACAUCUUGUUUUUCACAACCGAGAGACUCUUAUAGAUGGAUUCUAUAAACCUCUCCCACCAUCAACUGCUGUGCAGGACCUCAGUGGCCAAAAUGUCAUAUAUGAACAAGUGUGUCUGCUGCCCAUUACACGACCAGACAAAAUUUGUGAUUGUGACCCUCAAAACCUGGCUGUUGUAGCUGGACGAUCUGUUGUGCUCAUCUGUAUAAAUGGUUCAGAGGGAGUCGAGGACUCGUAUCUCAGUGUAAUGUAAACGCAAUACAGCCAUCGGUUCUGGAUUCACAGGUGGACGUCACACAAGACCCAAGACCCACCCACUGUCUUUAUUCCACCUCCUCUCUCUAGGAAUUGGUGCACAUAGCUGUGUGGUUUUUCAAUACAGACAUGUGCGAAAUACAUAGAUUCGCAAAUAUACUGAAAUGUUUGCUUUCGCACCCUAAAGUUCCAGAACCCUAGCCUGACGUCAUCAUAUUGAGAUUCUAGUAAGAAUAUGAGUCUGAUAUUGCUCCAUUAGGCUCUGAUUAUGGGGCUUGUUUCAACCGAAAUGCCUCUGCACCCAAUAGAAUAGACCUACAAGCAAUCUUUUUUCUUUUUUUUUCUGGAAUGCGAGAUCCAAUCUGUUAUCCAGAUACAAAAGCCACUUGAUGUGGACAGGUGUAAACACACCGUGUCCUGAUUGGCAUAUUAUCCGAUCUGCUUGAGCAAAUCACGGUGAUCGCAUGUUAAUGCCAAGAGUAAACACAGCCAAAGUGUGUUUACUACUUAUUUAUUUUCUUUUGAAAUCUUUGCAGGUCGCUAUGACGUCUUCCUGCCAGUGAUGAAUUGCAGAGCUUGUCUUGCAUCAUGGACACCUGAGGUGGUUGACCUGUUGUUUAGUGGUUACUGGCCAGGCACUGUCGAGUUUCAAACCAUAUACAAGGUAGACCUCUUCACGUCGUUUGAGGACCUGAAGAUCACUGCACCUGGGCUUUCAAGACAAGCAUUUGUGAAAAUGUUACAACAGCGCUCACAACAAUUUGGAAGGGUAAGACUUGGAAAGUAAUUCGCAUUUAUGCAAGUCUUACUGGCAUGUCACUGUAUUCAAAUUUUUAUAAUUUCAGAGUGGUAACAUUUGUGGCAACGUCUUCCAAAAAGCUUUCCUUGAAUGGACAUAUUGUCGUCAUAAAAGAGAAAAACUCUGCGGCAUUGAUCACUUCUCUUGCCCAGCUUGCACCCCAGAUACAGUUGCUGUGUCUGCAGAUGGAAACAGAAAACUAUACAGAUUCAGCAAAACAAAGGGGUAUAUUAUAACAUUUACAUUUAAUAAUUUAGCAGACGCUUUCAUCCGAAGAACAAUAGAAGCAAUCAGACCAACAAGAGGGCAACAAUAUACACGUGAUGUAACAAGUCUCAGUUAGUCUAGCACAGUACACAUAGCAAUGUAUUAUUUUUUUUUUUUUUUUAUCUUCCUGUAGGACAGAGGAACAACCAUUUUUUGAUGGAGUUUUUCUGGCUAAUGACAAAGAUGUAGCAACAUUUGUUGAUUGUGUUCGUGAGAAGACCAUCCCAGUAAGAUAUUUGUCAAAAGAUUUGGGAUUGUACACGGUGAAUCAGGCUCUAGUUUGUGAAUAUAUUUGAUAUGACACUGUUACAGGUACAUGGAAAAGGCAUCUGUGGAACAUCAACAUGGGCUGCAGCCAGGGAGACCUCUAAAAAGACAAACACUAAAUGUGAUGAAGAGGGCCUAGAGGUGGCAGUUUGCAGGCACAGCAUAUUGCUUAGAGGGUUGAACAUGUUUAGGGGCGAGAUAUUUGCAUACCCUCUGUUUCUGAAGAAGGAACUGGCCACAAAAACAAACUGCAAGUUCUUCUGCACUGACAUCAUGUGUCGAUAUUGGCCCUAUCUUCAAAAGGUGGCUCAAGCAUUCCCAGAAAUGCAAAACCUGACUCAGAUGAAGCCAUUUCUCUCAGUUAUGCAUGCAAAGGGGCACUCUACAAAAUGUGAGGUAAAUGUAUAUUCUUGAACAAUAUGGUAACUAAGCCUUUAACCAUUUUGAUAUCCAUGAACUUGAUAUUUUUUAGUUUGGACAUUUGGUGUGCAUGCUGUAGGUGCAGUGGGGUGGCAAAAAUCAAACAGGGGCAGGCACAACAAUUGGUGAAGAAGUUGAACAAGUGAACAGCUUUUUGUCCCGUGUGGCUCUAACUACAAAAUACAUGAGUAAGGCUGGUGAGUGGUCCUUUUUUACAGUUCUCAUGUAUUGUUAAGACAGCUUUUCUUUUUUUCUUUUUUUUAUUCAACAUACUCCGUGACUAACCACUAAUUGAAAAGCACAUUUAUGCCUUCAUCAUUACAGCACGAGUAGAUAUGAUCACAUUGCAUGCCAGAGGAUGGAAUGAGCGCAAAAAAAGAAACCUGCACAAGUACUUGUCUACACGGUACUUGAAGGUAAGUAAAAAAAUAAAGAUUUCGUCAAUGAAGGUUAAAUUUCA